Molecule: ribosomal RNA, 253 nt
Filed under: uncultured bacterium
Lineage: Bacteria
Description: partial 16S ribosomal RNA
Rfam family: Bacterial small subunit ribosomal RNA
Source: RNAcentral
UACGAAGGGGGCUAGCGUUGCUCGGAAUUACUGGGCGUAAAGCGCACGUAGGCGGCUUUCUAAGUCGGGGGUGAAAUCCUGGAGCUCAACUCCAGAACUGCCUUCGAUACUGGAGAGCUUGAGUCCGGGAGAGGUGAGUGGAAUUCCGAGUGUAGAGGUGAAAUUCGUAGAUAUUCGGAGGAACACCAGUGGCGAAGGCGGCUCACUGGUCCAUUACUGACGCUGAGGUGCGAAAGCGUGGGGAGCGAACAGG